This 486-nucleotide ribosomal RNA is filed under the name uncultured bacterium. RNAcentral's name for it is "bacterial SSU rRNA". It matches the Rfam family "Bacterial small subunit ribosomal RNA", at positions 28 to 520 of the family's 1533-position model. The record is from RNAcentral.
GAUGAACGCUAGCGACAGGCCUAACACAUGCAAGUCGAGGGGCAGCGCGGAUCAAGCUUGCUUGAUUUGGCGGCGACCGGCGAACGGGUGCGUAACAGGUGUGCAAUCUGUCCAUAAUCGGGGAAUAGCCCAGCGAAAGUUGGAUUAAUGCUCCAUGUGAGUAGAGGAGGCAUCUCUACUCAAUUAAAGAAUUUCGGAAACGGAUAGGCUCGCGUGACAUUAGCUUGAUGGCGGGGUAACGGCCCACCAUGGCGACGAUGUCUAGGGGUUCUGAGAGGAAGGUCCCCCANACUGGAACUGAGACACGGCCCAAAACUCCUACGGGAGGCAGCAGUGGGGAAUAUUGCACAAUGGGCGAAAGCCUGAUGCAGCGACGCCGCGUGAGCGAAGAAGUAUUUCGGUAUGUAAAGCUCUAUCAGCAGGGAAGAAAAAAUGACGGUACCUGACUAAGAAGCACCGGCUAAAUACGUAGCCAGCAGCCGACGG